AGGGUUUCCUGUAUGGUCGCCCCUCUAGUUUGAGGGGAGGAAAGUCCGGGCUCCACAGGGCAGGAGGCUACCGAAAGGUAGAUGGGGGUAACCUCAUGGUUAGGGCAACAGAGAGGAGACUUCCUGAUUUAGUAUCCUAAACAUUGAUGUAGGUGGUUAUCCACCGAAAAUGGAUACUAAAUCAGGUAAAGGUGAAAGGGUAGGGUAAGAGCCUACCACUUACCAGUGUGAGCUGGUAAGUUUGCCCGCCCCUCCGGAGCAAUCCCAAGUAGGAGAGCAUUUUAGGGUGGCCCGCCCUAAUGGGAGUUUAUCUCCCUAUGCUCUCGGGUAGGGAGCUAAGAUAAAUGACCAUAUUCAACAGAACCCGGCUUAUAGGGAAGCCCUACCU
This 388-nucleotide RNase P RNA is filed under the name Persephonella sp. Its description in RNAcentral is "RNase P RNA component class A". It matches the Rfam family "Bacterial RNase P class A". Rfam says of the family: Ribonuclease P (RNase P) is a ubiquitous endoribonuclease, found in archaea, bacteria and eukarya as well as chloroplasts and mitochondria. Its best characterised activity is the generation of mature 5'-ends of tRNAs by cleaving the 5'-leader elements of precursor-tRNAs. The record is from RNAcentral. Lineage: Bacteria; Pseudomonadati; Aquificota; Aquificia; Aquificales; Hydrogenothermaceae.